UGGGGAAUAUUGCACAAUGGGCGAAAGCCUGAUGCAGCAACGCCGCGUGAGUGAUGAAGGUCUUCGGAUUGUAAAGCUCUGUCUUUUGGGACGAUAAUGACGGUACCAAAGGAGGAAGCCACGGCUAACUACGUGCCAGCAGCCGCGGUAAUACGUAGGUGGCGAGCGUUGUCCGGAUUUACUGGGCGUAAAGGGUGCGUAGGCGGAUGUUUAAGUGAGAUGUGAAAUACCCGGGCUUAACUUGGGUGCUGCAUUUCAAACUGGAUAUCUAGAGUGCAGGAGAGGAGAGUGGAAUUCCUAGUGUAGCGGUGAAAUGCGUAGAGAUUAGGAAGAACACCAGUGGCGAAGGCGAUUCUCUGGACUGUAACUGACGCUGAGGCACGAAAGCGUGGGUAGCAAACAGGAUUAGAUACCCUGGUAGUCCACGCCGUAAACGAUGAGUACUAGGUGUAGGAGGUAUCGACCCCUUCUGUGCCGCAGUAAACACAUUAAGUACUCCGCCUGGGAAGUACGAUCGCAAGAUUAAAACUCUAAAGUGAAUUGACGGGGUC
This 551-nucleotide ribosomal RNA is filed under the name uncultured bacterium. RNAcentral describes it as "partial 16S ribosomal RNA". It matches the Rfam family "Bacterial small subunit ribosomal RNA", at positions 355 to 920 of the family's 1533-position model. The record is from RNAcentral.